RNAcentral lists this ribosomal RNA (253 nucleotides) under uncultured bacterium. RNAcentral describes it as "partial 16S ribosomal RNA". It matches the Rfam family "Bacterial small subunit ribosomal RNA", at positions 524 to 776 of the family's 1533-position model. The record is from RNAcentral.
UACGGAGGGUGCGAGCGUUGUCCGGAAUCACUGGGCGUAAAGGGCGCGUAGGUGGCUCGUGAAGCGUGCGGUGAAAGUCCGAGGCUCAACCUCGGAUCGGCCGUGCGGACUCGCGGGCUCGAGCGUUGUAGAGGCGGGUGGAAUUCCGGGUGUAGCGGUGGAAUGCGUAGAGAUCCGGAAGAACACCGGUGGCGAAGGCGGCCUGCUGGGCUAUGGCUGACACUGAGACACGAAAGCGUGGGUAGCAAACAGG